This is a long non-coding RNA of Musa acuminata AAA Group (dessert banana), 3812 nucleotides long. RefSeq lists it as uncharacterized. NCBI's taxonomy places the organism in Eukaryota, Viridiplantae, Streptophyta, Magnoliopsida, Zingiberales, Musaceae. The record is from RefSeq and is a predicted model, not a curated record. The transcript is spliced from 4 exons.
CCCAUCGCUUGCAUCCAAACCUGACCGUAUUCUAAUCCAUCAUAUUAUUUUGACCUGCAAACCAAGUCAAUUCUGCAAUAUUUUACGUCGGCAGGACAACUUCCAAUGGCCACGAUCUCUGAUGGACUGCGGGUCAUGACCGGACGAAUCAUCAGAUCUAACCUUGCGGUGUGAAUCCUAUUAGCUUUUUUCAGCCGGGGAAGUGUGGCCAGAAUUCUUGGUGGCACGAAGGCCGAAGUGGAGGUGGUGGGAGCGCAGUGGAGGGAGGGGAUGGGACAAAAGGUCAUGCUUGGAUGCCCUCAUGGUCCCGCUCCUUUCGCUUUGAACCUGGUCUCGGAAGUAAAUGGGAGAGUGGGAGUGGGGGUGGCGGGGCAAUCCAUUUUUAUAUGCGGCUCGGGUAGAGUGCAGCGAGGAACACAAUCUAUUGUUUAUCCGGUGGUGGUGGUGUCAUGGUGGGGCCGUAAUCUAUGAUGAAAGAACAAGAUUGCUACUCCAAUGACUCUACUCGACUCUAUCGCAUUAAAAUAAUGAUUCAGCAAGGGCAGAAGUGGAUGUCAAUUUUUGACUGGUGACUAAAAAAUGUGGACAGUGGCCUUUAAACUUUACUCUCUUUUCUUUGGAUCUUUUAUCAAGUUGCAGAGCUCACAGGAAGUUGUGGCCACCAAAGUCUCCUCCUCCUCCUCCUCCUCCUCUUUACCCAAGUCGUAUUCCCCUGCCUCUCUGUGUUCUUUCGAGUCCUUUGGAAGGUUAGCAUUUGAUAGAGGAGAACUCAGGUAUUACUAAUUUUCUUGUUUGCUGAUGAUGAUUUAUGCGUUCUUGGUUGCUCUUGAUGCUUAACAAAGAGGGUUUCUUCAUGGUGGAUUUCUUUUCUUGUUCGGGGAAGGCAUAAGGUGGUGUUAUUAGGUGAAAUAUUUCUGUGUGUUGAUACUUAAUGUGUAGGUUUCUGUUCUGUGAUGCAUUUUGUUUGAAGGGACAAACUUCUACCAAGUUAGAUUGCAAAAGAUUGGUUUCUCCUCUCUGUUAAGUGUCCUUGAUUUGACCUGUGAUGUGUGAGAACCGAUCCCUUUUCCCACUGCUGGGACUUCAAAAGGAAUCAAAGAAAGUUCACAAAGGAAAGUUGACAGCCAUGUUAUCUUUAGGGGUGCUCAUCAGGAGAGUGAAAGUUACAUCAUAUUUUAAAGGAAACAUGAGAAGAUCCUCCACAUCUGUCCUGUUUCUAUCUUCUUAUAUUGAGUUAGAACCAUCCCAUUUGUUACUUUUGCAUUUUUGAUGAAUGAUUUAUCUCUAUUACUGAUGCUGGUAUCACACUAAGUUCAGGCAAGCCACAUUGUAAAGAAAUGCAGCAAUUGAGUUAUUGCAUUAUUCGAGCUCUUAUUCAUGGUUGGAAGAGUAAGAACUAAUUACUGUUCCCAAAUGAACAUGUUCUGGUCCUAUAAAGUGAGGAUUUAGUUCACCAUUAGCCAAACCUGAGUAAUAAGAUCAUAUAUGUAUAAAAUGAAUUGAUCAAACUAAUUAUGUAAAGUAUACGCAACCAUGCAGUUUGUAUAUUGCUUCUGUAAUGGGUGAAACAGUUGCCCGGACAAAAGGUGAUCAAGAUAAUCAAAGAGCAAUCACCUUGUACUCUGUGCUGGUGUCUCUCAUAAUCAAGUUAAACAUUGUCUUGGUGAAAUAAGGUUUCCAGCUAGGAACUUGUAUGGCUAAGAAUGCUCUUCAAGUUUAUACCCGUCCGUGCGCAUGUAAUAUGGUUUGAGCUACAAGUUGAUGGUGCAAGUUCGUUUAUGCAACUUCUUUGGUCAUGAUUCAAGAGUUCAAUAGGGGAGCAGUUCGUCUGGAUACUGCGAUCUAAGCUUGAUAGAAUUGUGCGAGGAUAUGGGGCUCUUCAAAUGGAUCAUGCAAGGGUGCAUCGUAGAAAGGGUAUAUUUACAAAGAGAACCUGUUUUUCACCGGUUAGCUGUUUGUUCAGUAUUGUAGGAUUCCUGUAGAGAAUAGCUACAUCAUGUUUGGCCGGGUGAUGCCACCACCGACGAAUGCAGGGAGCUCUGCGUGAUGCCGUAAAUAUACCUGACAUUUCAACGUGCAUGCUACUACCACAUAGCUAGGUCCAAUAGAAGAUGAGGUUGUGCAAAGAUACUUCAACCAUAGAGGGAUAGUAUGACCGAUGGAUGAUGAUUCUGGAUGUCAGGAAGAAGACCUUCCUCUACUCUCUCUCAUUUAUUCAAUCAUCUAAUGUCAUGAGAUAUGACGUUCACUACGACAAUGAAGAAGACCUAUGGUGGUAAAUGGAUCUAUUGGCAAAGGACAGUAAGGCUGUUGCCUGCCCCUAUUUCUUUUUCUCAUCUUCAAUAUUUCUUGAAUAUUAUUUCAACUUCAUAUCCGGAUUCCUGCCUUUAGGUUUGCUGACACUGUGAUCGUAUCAUCAUUCUAUCAAGCAUCUCGGUUGAAUAGCGAUUAGACUUGAUUAACACAUGUAAAAGUUUAGCUACUAAUUGACACUUUAUGUUGGUUAUGGUUGUCCAAUAAAAUUUUGCUUGUAUUAUCAAAUUAAAAUUCCAAUUUGGUUGCAAGAAUGGUUGAUGCUUUCAUGAGAACAUUUUCCAAAAGUACUAUUUUCCUACACCUCUUGGAUUAUAUGUUUUACCUACCUGCCUUAUGUUUUGAAGAAGCAAUGGGGGUCCGCAGGCUGGUCCCACUUACAUUGGUUCUAUCCUAUUACAAGGCUGGCAAGUGAAACCGGAGGUCAAGGACUUCAUGCUGCACAUGAACAAUGGUUGACCUAUGCUUUAUGGUAUUGUUAUAAGUCUUGAAGGUCGGACAAUUCAUUGUUUGCAAAGAAUUUUCAAGCACCAAGCAGAAAAUAUUAUUCCGCAAAACCUUCAUAACAUGGAGGUGCCAAGAUGUGCAAGUGAUGCUGUUCGACAAGCACCGAGCUGAAAAUUUCUAGCAAUCUUUGCCUGUUUGAAUCCCUCCAAAGAUUUGAUGCUCAGCUUAUACCACGGAAAUCUUGUUGCAACACACACCAAAGAAUUCCCUGGUUUGACUACGGAGCUUGUUCUUCAUGAACCUCAUUCUCAUUUCUAUCUUAUGGUGCUGGCUAUGCAUCUGCAUAUUUAGAUGGCGAAUGAUGACACUCCAUAUUUGUGGUACCACAAGGCAUUGUUGCUUGCUUGGAUGCUGUCCAAGGAAAGAAGGUCUGUUCAUUGAAAGAAAGACCUUGUUUCUACCAAAUGCUGGUGCUGGUGACACUGGAACUAUUAUCUACAGAAAUUUCUCUUGUUGCAUUGGGAAUUCCCAUUGCUUGAAUAAAUCGAUAGAAUGAUUCAAAUUAACUAUCAAAUGCAUUCUACAUUCCUAGCACAGACAAGAAGUGAGAUUAAGUAUCAACGUUUCCAUUAAUGAUGUUGAUGUUUAGGCUUUUGAUGUGGGGAAUCUCCAAAUCUGUGAAGAUAGAGAAUGGAGGGGACCGUUUUGUUUCCCCCACAACAUUGAAGAUGACUUCCAACUGCAUCCCAAUGUGCGUAAUCUCGAAGCCCAGCGACGACCAUCUCGAGAUUACGGCUCUUGAAGCAUGACGGCGACAGCAUCGACGGGGAAAACUACUAGUAAAGCAUUUAUUGCAGCAUGAAUGAAGAAUCCUUCAGAAAAGCGUAUCAAAAAGCAGGCUUGAAUGAUGUCCAGCAAACAGAAGAUACCGGCGACUUCCUUAUAAAGAGGCCCCAAAAUGGGCAUUAAAGAGCAGAAUAAACUCUUCUGUUAGUGACGAAGUUAAAAGGAAACAAAAGAACCAGUUCAUGGUACAAAGAAAAUUUUGUACA